This 500-nucleotide ribosomal RNA is filed under the name uncultured bacterium. Its description in RNAcentral is "partial 16S ribosomal RNA". It matches the Rfam family "Bacterial small subunit ribosomal RNA", at positions 30 to 523 of the family's 1533-position model. The record is from RNAcentral.
AUUGAACGCUGGCGGCAUGCCUUACACAUGCAAGUCGAACGGCAGCACGGGAGCAAUCCUGGUGGCGAGUGGCGAACGGGUGAGUAAAGUAUCGGAACGUGCCCAGUCGUGGGGGAUAACGUAGCGAAAGUUGCGCUAAUACCGCAUACGAUCUAUGGAUGAAAGCGGGGGAUCGCAAGACCUCGCGCGAUUGGAGCGGCCGAUAUCAGAUUAGGUAGUUGGUGGGGUAAAGGCUCACCAAGCCGACGAUCUGUAGCUGGUCUGAGAGGACGACCAGCCACACGAGGAAUGAGACACGGCCCAGAAUCCGACGGGAGGCAGCAGUGUGGAAUUUUGGACAAUGUGCGCAAGCCUGAUCCAGCCAUGCCGCGUGCAGGAUGAAGGCCUUCGGGUUGUAAACUGCUUUUGUACGGAACGAAAAGGUUUGGCCUAAUAAGCUGAGCUCAUGACGGUACCGUAAGAAUAAGCACCGGCUAACUACGUGCCAGCCGCCGCGGUAA